GUGAAAUGAAACCCCAUCCUCCAAAUUAAUCUCUUCUCAGAAUUUUCCUUCUCCAUAUUCUCUAUUCUUCUUCUUCAUCUAAGUUGUAGAGACCACUCUUCUACCCUUGAAUUCCUAAAAGAACAAUGAGGUCUCACUUACGGUAGUGUUCGUCGUUCGCUGGAGAAUCGUUUCAGGGAAGACGACAAGGAAAUCUUAAAGAGUUAGGGAACUGACAAGGUUAUAGAGACCACUCUUCUACCCUUGAAUUCCUAGGAGAAUAAUGAGGUCUCACUUACAGUAGUGUUCACCGUUCGCUAGAGAAUCAUUUUAGGGAAGACGAUAAGGAAAUCUUAAAGAGUUAGGGAACUGACGAAGGCAUUCUCACUCUUCCGCUCAAGAUUCCAAUCCUUCAGUCGUCCAUCCUUUGUUGUUCUUUACUCGGGUUGGGUCUCAAGUGUCCUAAAAUAUGAGGAAAUUUCGGAGGUGAGUAGGAAGAAUUGACAUAAAUCAUUGUUCGACCGUGUAGACGAGUAAAAGUUCUUCCUGCAAAUUCAAUUUGAGUUGCACGAAAAACAAGGUCGAGAAGUGGGACUUGUUGACCUAUUUAGAGAAACACACUCUAAAAAUGACAAGUUUGUGAAUCAGGAAGCUGAGGAUGCACAUGUAAUCAAUUUGUUUUUUUAAAAAAAUUUUUUUUUUCAAUUUGUAAGUUCAAUCACUCGUAUUUACGCAAGUUAAAUAAUAUGUGCAAAAAAAAUUUUAAAUUUACAAUCCAACCUCACUCCAGAGGAUUCCCAACCAGUAACAGGGGAUGAAAUUUGUGAGAUAGUCUUGGGUAGACAACUUGAUCAUAUAAAAGGUAUAGGUUGGGACCCUAAACAUAAGUCAAUGAGGGGUAGCAGUUCAUCGAGCUCGUCAUCUACUCAAGAAGUGCAUGAUAGGGAGGUAAGUGAACUAAAACCCAAUGUUGAACAAUCUCAAUCGAAGAUUAAGGAACUUGAAGACGUCCAAAAACAAAUGAGAGAGGAUCAUGCAAGACAGUUGGAAGAAAUGAAAAAAAUGAUUGAAGAUAUGAUACGAUCAUAGAGAAAAGGGUCAUCGAAUUAGGUAUGAUUACUUCAUUAUCUAAUUGGUUAAUAUGUUGCUAUCUUAUAGUAGCAAAGUAGUUAUAUCUUACUAGUGUUUAGUUUUAUGUCCUAGAACUCAUAAAUAGUAAAUGUAAUUAAUUAACCGAUAUCAAUAAAGAGUUAUCAAAAUUAUUUAAUCAAUAAAGAGUUAUCGAUGUUAUUUCAAUAAAUGUUAUUGAUUCUGUUGUAUUCUAUUUUGUUUUAAUAACCCUAAAUCCAAUAAACAAAUUCUUAGGUUGUUUUAUGAGUCUUGAACAGUAAGUGGAGAUAUACAGGGAUAAAUGUUCAAGAUACAACCUAAAGGGUCUAUAGUAUAGGGAUAAGACUGGGUACCUUAUCCUAAUAACACUAUGGAUAUGGCCUACUUUGCAUUUGAUAUAAAUGCAAUUAUCCAACGUGUUCAUGUACGUGAUAUGCGAGUGGGGGUAUCCUAUACAAUGAGUUUACAUAAGACCGGACCGUGAAAUAGUAACCACUAGAGGUAACAUUGUUGACUAGUUAGGUUUCUAUUUCAAUAGGAUGGUCUAGGCAACUUAACCUUAACCCUGAGUAUAUUAUGAACUCCUAUUUAUGAGGGAUUUUCCUUUGAUUUGGAUGGGUGAGAGUAGCCAGUUUCUUGAUUCAAUAAUCCCACAAUUUUGGAGACAAGACCGAGUGGGGAGAUAGGAACGUAAUAAUACAAGAUAGAAUUCAUUUCUUUCCGACUUUAGGGUAAGUAGAUGAGUGUUCCCUUAAGUGGUGUCUCUAGAACUUGAACAAGGACUCUACCCUCUCGUUGACCUGAGAGGGGUUUCUGUUUGAUGGUUGGACCAUAAACAGGUUAUUCAUUAGAGGAGCACUAGUACUUAAGGAUGUAGAGGUAACCUAAGGGUAAAACAAUAAUUUGUU
Molecule: long non-coding RNA, 1997 nt
Organism: Benincasa hispida (wax gourd)
Lineage: Eukaryota; Viridiplantae; Streptophyta; Magnoliopsida; Cucurbitales; Cucurbitaceae
Source: RefSeq, a predicted model, not a curated record